This 1072-nucleotide unclassified non-coding RNA is filed under the name Zea mays. RNAcentral's name for it is "misc RNA Zm00001eb020550". The record is from RNAcentral. Lineage: Eukaryota; Viridiplantae; Streptophyta; Magnoliopsida; Poales; Poaceae.
GUACAGGGUACUUUGCCGAAGACAAAGAAUAACACAUUAGAUGAUUCAUCCAGGUAGUACACAUGUGAAUAGAUUCAUGUUUAUUUCACAAUACAAGGGACAGAAGAACAAACGUAUUCAUCUUUAUUUGAUUCCUCGGGAACAGUUUGAUAUAUACCUGAUACUGAAAAGAUGUCGCAGCCAGCGUUAUCAAAGAAACUGACCAGUAUAAACAUCCAAUCCAAGGUACAUUCAAGGAACAAUCUUGCAGGCCUUCAUCUUGUCAAUCCACUUGUUGAAGGACUUCACUGUGUCGCGGAAGCCGAGGAAUCCGUGCUCCUUGCUCUUGUUCAUGCUAUCCAAAAGCUUCCAGUUGGCGCCAUGCUCAUAGACCACGACGUCGAUAAGCCACCAAUCGGCAACGUCGCGGAGGCGUGUCUCCACGAGCCCGUUCUCCCUGACAAUCUCCGCCCACACCGCCUCUUUCCCGGCCAUGGCCUCCGACACCUUGAACUGCUUCUCCUCGCCGUCGUACCCGGUCCACUCCAGCCCGAAACGAGCGGCGAGUACCGGCCACAGCGUCUUCCAGUUGUAAAGGUCUCCGUUGUUGCUGUUGAACGCCUGGUUCUUGGCCAUGGGGUCGACGGCCGCCCAGAUGUGCUGCUCGGCGAUGAGGUCCGCGUCGGAGGCGUUGCUGAAGCUCUCCCAGGAGCCAAGGCACCCCGGCCAGCGCAGAGCGACCCCCUCCUUGCGGCAGAUGGCGGCGUACACGCACAGGCUGCACACGACGUUGAAGAAGCUCCGCGGAGAGAAGCCGAGGAUGAGGUUGGGGCGGUGCACGGACCAGCUCACGGCGCCGCCGCGCCGGGAGACUGCGGCGAAGAGGACGUCCUCUUGGUCGUAGUAGAAGUUUGGGCAGUCCAGGCGCGGCACGUCCUCGGUGUAGGGCGGGUCCGGAGUGGGGAUCUUGCCAAUGAGCUCGAACGGUCCCAGGUAGUGCUUGGUGCCCGUCUGGAGCGAGACGUGGGCGAGGGCGGGGCAGUUGGGGACGACGACGGAGAGGACGUUGCGGAGCAUGGCGGAGUUGGCCUCC